Molecule: ribosomal RNA, 268 nt
Filed under: uncultured bacterium
Lineage: Bacteria
Description: partial 16S ribosomal RNA
Rfam family: Bacterial small subunit ribosomal RNA
Source: RNAcentral
UAAUGCAUGUAAGUCGAGCGAUGAGUGCUCCUUCGGGGGUACAUCAGCGGCGGACGGGUGAGUAACACGUAGUGUGACGUGCCCUGAAGACGGGGAUAACGAAUGGAUACAUUGGCUAAUACCCGAUAAGCUUAGACGGUCAAAGGUGUAAGGAAAGCCUUCUUAAGGAAGGCGCUUGAGGAGCGGCCUGCGGCCCAUCAGCUAGUUGGUAGGGUAACGUGCCUACCAAGUGCGAAGACGGGUAGGGGGUGUGAGAGCAUGAACCCCC